GGACACACGCAAGUGCCCCUGUCUCAUUAGUAUUAAUAAAAAUUACCAAUCAGGUGAAGAGGCCUGAAUAAAAUAAAAAGACAAAAAGACCCUAUGGAGCUUUAUUUAAAUCCCUAAUCACACCAGCCCUACACCACCCCACCUUAGGCAAAUAAAUUUAGUUGGGGCGACUAAGGAAAACCAUAAAUCUUCCUCCCUAAAAAGAAAAUAAAUCCCGAUUGAUCCSUUAUACGAAUAUAGACACAGCUACCCUAGGGAUAACAGGCUAAUUCUUCUCGAGAGCCCAAAUUGACAGAAGAGAUUGGCACCUCGAUGUUGGCUUAGG
Molecule: ribosomal RNA, 325 nt
Filed under: Laonice sp. 349 PB
Lineage: Eukaryota; Metazoa; Annelida; Polychaeta; Spionida; Spionidae
Description: partial 16S ribosomal RNA
Source: RNAcentral